CGUGUAGGCGGUUUAGCAAGCCUGGUGUGAAAUACUUCAGCUCAACUGAAGGAACGCGCUGGGAACUGUUAGACUAGAGUGAUGGAGGGGGAGUUGGAAUUCCAGGUGUAGGGGUGAAAUCUGUAGAUAUCUGGAAGAACACAGGUGGCGAAGGCGAACUCCUGGCCAUAUACUGACGCUAAUGCGCGAAAGCGUGGGGAGCGAACAGGAUUAGAUACCCUGGUAGUCC
This 229-nucleotide ribosomal RNA is filed under the name uncultured bacterium. Its description in RNAcentral is "partial 16S ribosomal RNA". It matches the Rfam family "Bacterial small subunit ribosomal RNA", at positions 568 to 796 of the family's 1533-position model. The record is from RNAcentral.